AGACCCGAAACCCGGUGAUCUAGCCAUGGGCAGGUUGAAGGUUGGGUAACACUAACUGGAGGACCGAACCGACUAAUGUUGAAAAAUUAGCGGAUGACCUGUGGCUGGGGGUGAAAGGCCAAUCAAACCGGGAGAUAGCUGGUUCUCCCCGAAAGCUAUUUAGGUAGCGCCUCGUGAAUUCAUCUCCGGGGGUAGAGCACUGUUUCGGCUAGGGGGCCAUCCCGGCUUACCAACCCGAUGCAAACUGCGAAUACCGGAGAAUGUUAUCACGGGAGACACACGGCGGGUGCUAACGUCCGUCGUGAAGAGGGAAACAACCCAGACCGCCAGCUAAGGUCCCAAAGUCAUGGUUAAGUGGGAAACGAUGUGGGAAGGCCCAGACAGCCAGGAUGUUGGCUUAGAAGCAGCCAUCAUUUAAAGAAAGCGUAAUAGCUCACUGGUCGAGUCGGCCUGCGCGGAAGAUGUAACGGGGCUAAACCAUGCACCGAAGCUGCGGCAGCGAACGUAUCACUUAAAGCGAUUCAGCGGGUUACGAUUGACGGAGCGAAGCGACGUCAAAGCGUAUACAAAGUCGAGUCGGUUUAAGGAUACGUUCGUUGGGUAGGGGAGCGUUCUGUAAGCCUGUGAAGGUGUGUCGUGAGGCAUGCUGGAGGUAUCAGAAGUG
This 664-nucleotide ribosomal RNA is filed under the name Salmonella enterica subsp. enterica serovar Infantis. Its description in RNAcentral is "partial 23S ribosomal RNA". It matches the Rfam family "Bacterial large subunit ribosomal RNA", at positions 711 to 1290 of the family's 2925-position model. Lineage: Bacteria; Pseudomonadati; Pseudomonadota; Gammaproteobacteria; Enterobacterales; Enterobacteriaceae. The record is from RNAcentral.